UAUGUCAGUUUCUUUUCUUUUCUGCUAUAGCGUAUGUCAGUUUCAUUUCUGCUACAGCGUAUUUUCAUCUCCCGAGAAAUCUUCAAAAUCUGCCCAAAAUCUUUUUACUUCCUACCGAGCCUUAUCUCUGCAACCUCUUCACUCUUUUUUUUUUAAAACUCUCCCAAACCCAUCAGAACCUUCUCUGUCAUUUUCCAUCUCUGAAACUCUGUCAUUUUCUAUCUCUGAAUCUGCAAGAAUAUUUCUACCUCAAGAGUUCAAGACACUUAUCAAGGCAAGCAGAUACUACUACACAUUCAUCAAACAUUCACCAAAAUCCAACUGAACAAGGUUCGAUCUUCUCCCUUCAACUUUAUACCACAGCAUGUGUUCCUCUACAUCAAAUAUAGAACUAGAUUUACAGUCUCACUCAUUGACAUGAACUUGAACAGCAUGCUUUUCAUUCAUAACUUGUAAGGAUUUUUAGUAAAACACAAUCUCUGCUACAAUAAGACUAAUAAAAUCUGUACAAUAAGAAAAUAGCUAGAUCAAGAACAAUCUGUACCAACAAACACCAAGACUCGACCUUCUUUUCCCCUUCCUUCCUCGAGAACCAAUUCCCACCAUUAUACAAGAACUUACCUUACUUCUCAUCUGCAAGAUUCAUUUUUUUCUCUAAGAACAAAUCUUCCUGUCACAUUCUUCCUUCGUUGUUGGGAUGGGUUGGAGCGCGAGAGUGUGAGAAGGGGUUCCCGUUCCUUUCUUUUGGUGGUUGCAUAAGCACCGCCCUGUCGGAGAGGGCGGCGGCGCGGCGGCUCCCUUCUGGGCCUGCUGCUGCCGGAUUCGCGUGAGGAAAAGAGGGAGAAGGCGAACGGCGGCUGGGCAAGGUGACGCCGAAGAAGGCGGCGCGGCCGGCCAUGGUCUGAAUCGGAGCUCGGCAGCGGCGGUGGCAGCCUGGCAGCUGCUGUCCGUCAAAGCCAGGAGGAGAGGGGAGAACAGUGGGCCGGGGUGGCCUUCGUUUUGCUCGCCGGAGGUUGACGGUGGCGCGGCCGGAGGCCAGGCGCGCGGCCCGCUGCGAAAAUGGCAGCAGCGGCGGCGGCCUUCCUCGGCCGUCCGCCGCAGAGGACGCGAAGGAGAGGAGUGGCGUGCGGCGACUGGCAACUGACGACUGGCGGCGAGCCUCGCCGGGGUGGCUGCGGCGGCAGCGGCGGCGGCGGCGUGCUGGACUGGAGAGGGGUGGCCGAAGGGUGUGAGAGAGGGAGAGAGGGAGGCGUGAGUUCAGUGGGUGAGAAGAGAGAGAGAGAGUUUGUCCUUAUUUCUAAAUUUCAUUUUAGGGCUUAAUUUAGGCUUUAAUUGUUUUGGGCUGAUUUUAUUAGUUUUAUGGGCCGAUUUUUUUAAUUGACUGGUGGGCUGAUUUUAUUAUUUCUAAUGGGUUCUACUUUCUUAAUAAAAUACUUGGGCUGCUUUAUUAAUAACAAGACUUCAAAUUAUUUUCUUUGGACCUGUAAAUGUUUUAAUAAAAAUAUUAAUUUUUCUUCCAAUAAUAAGAUUCUAUAUUUUCUUUAAAUGAUUAAUAAUUUUUAGAUUUAGUGUUAAUUAUAUUUGUUAAAAUUACUAAUUAUGUAUUAAAAGUUUAUGGAUUCACAGAGAUUAUUAAUUCGGGCAAAGUGUAUCAAUAGUUAGUGAUUUUCCCCUCUUUAUUUAGAAGUUAGAAUAGCACCAAGAGACCUAUUAAGAAUAGAUUUCUUGUAGGCCUUGAGGACCAGGAGGAU
RNAcentral lists this long non-coding RNA (1751 nucleotides) under Salvia miltiorrhiza (redroot sage). Its description in RNAcentral is "long non-coding RNA (SMIL_LNC007142)". Lineage: Eukaryota; Viridiplantae; Streptophyta; Magnoliopsida; Lamiales; Lamiaceae. The record is from RNAcentral.